RNAcentral lists this ribosomal RNA (632 nucleotides) under uncultured bacterium. RNAcentral's name for it is "bacterial SSU rRNA". It matches the Rfam family "Bacterial small subunit ribosomal RNA", at positions 202 to 834 of the family's 1533-position model. The record is from RNAcentral.
UAAAGGUAUUCCGGUAGACGAUGGGGAUGCGUUCCAUUAGAUAGUAGGCGGGGUAACGGCCCACCUAGUCUUCGAUGGAUAGGGGUUCUGAGAGGAAGGUCCCCCACAUUGGAACUGAGACACGGUCCAAACUCCUACGGGAGGCAGCAGUGAGGAAUAUUGGUCAAUGGGCGAGAGCCUGAACCAGCCAAGUAGCGUGAAGGAUGACUGCCCUAUGGGUUGUAAACUUCUUUUAUAAAGGAAUAAAGUCGGGUAUGCAUACCCGUUUGCAUGUACUUUAUGAAUAAGGAUCGGCUAACUCCGUGCCAGCAGCCGCGGUAAUACGGAGGAUCCGAGCGUUAUCCGGAUUUAUUGGGUUUAAAGGGAGCGUAGAUGGAUGUUUAAGUCAGUUGUGAAAGUUUGCGGCUCAACCGUAAAAUUGCAGUUGAUACUGGAUAUCUUGAGUGCAGUUGAGGCAGGCGGAAUUCGUGGUGUAGCGGUGAAAUGCUUAGAUAUCACGAGGAACUCCGAUUGCGAAGGCAGCCUGCUAAGCUGCAACUGACAUUGAGGCUCGAAAGUGUGGGUAUCAAACAGGAUUAGAUACCCUGGUAGUCCACACGGUAAACGAUGAAUACUCGCUGUUUGCGAUAUAC